AACGUAGGAGGCGAGCGUUAUCCGGAUUCACUGGGCGUAAAGCGCAGGUAGGUGGUUCGUUAAGUGGGUUGUGAAAGCCCCUGGCUCAACUGGGGGAGGUCAACCCAAACUGGCAGACUUGAGGUUCAGAGAGGAAAGUGGAAUUCCCGGUGUAGCGGUGGAAUGCGUAGAGAUCGGGAGGAACACCAGUGGCGAAGGCGACUUUCUGGCUGAAUCCUGACACUGAGAAGCGAAAGCGUGGGUAG
Molecule: ribosomal RNA, 245 nt
Filed under: uncultured bacterium
Lineage: Bacteria
Description: partial 16S ribosomal RNA
Rfam family: Bacterial small subunit ribosomal RNA
Source: RNAcentral